CCUACGGGUGGCAGCAGUGAGGAAUAUUGGUCAAUGGGCGAGAGCCUGAACCAGCCAAGUCGCGUGAGGGAGUACUGCCCUAUGGGUUGUAAAUCUCUUUUGUCGGGGAGCAAAAGCCUCACGUGUCCGGCUGCGAGAGUACCCGAAGAAUAAGCAUCGGCUAACUCCGUGCCAGCAGCCGCGGUAAUACGGAGGAUGCGAGCGUUAUCCGGAUUUAUUGGGUUUAAAGGGUGCGAAGGCGGAUUUUUAAGUCAGCGGUAAAAUCGUGGGGCUCAACCCCAUCCAGCCGUUGAAACUGGGGUGCUAGAGUGUGCGAGCGGUAUGCGGAAUGCGUGGUGUAGCGGUGAAAUGCAUAGAUAUCACGCAGAACCCCGAUUGCGAAGGCAGCAUACCGGUGCACAACUGACGCUCAGGCACGAAAGCGUGGGUAUCGAACAGGAUUAGAUACCCGAGUAGUC
Molecule: ribosomal RNA, 458 nt
Filed under: uncultured bacterium
Lineage: Bacteria
Description: partial 16S ribosomal RNA
Rfam family: Bacterial small subunit ribosomal RNA
Source: RNAcentral